Molecule: ribosomal RNA, 260 nt
Filed under: uncultured bacterium
Lineage: Bacteria
Description: partial 16S ribosomal RNA
Rfam family: Bacterial small subunit ribosomal RNA
Source: RNAcentral
GUCCACGCCGUAAACGAUGGGCACUAGGUGCAUGGGGGAGCGACCCCCUGUGUGCCGGCGCUAACGCAUUAAGUGCCCCGCCUGGGGAGUACGGCCGCAAGGCUGAAACUCAAAGGAAUUGACGGGGGCCCGCACAAGCGGUGGAGCAUGUGGUUUAAUUCGACGCAACGCGAAGAACCUUACCUGGGCUUGACAUGGCCGCGACUGCCCGCGGAAACGCGGGCGUCCCUUCGGGGCGCGGUCACAGGUGCUGCAUGGCU